UGCAAGUCGAACGGAAGUCGUUGUAAUGAAAUAGAAACGGACAGAGAACUUGUUCGAAGAAAGUGGAAGUAGACUUACAACAAUGGCUUUAGUGGCGGACUGGUGAGUAACGCGUAAGGAACCUGCCUUCUAGAGGGGAAUAACAAUGAGAAAUCAUUGCUAAUACCGCAUAUGCCGAGAGAAUCACAUGGUACAAUCGGGAAAAGAGUAAUCUGCUAGAAGAUGGCCUUGCGUCUGAUUAGAUAGUUGGUGGGGUAACGGCCUACCAAGUCGACGAUCAGUAGCCGGACUGAGAGGUUGAACGGCCACAUUGGGACUGAGAUACGGCCCAGACUCCUACGGGAGGCAGCAGUCGGGAAUAUUGCGCAAUGGAGGAAACUCUGACGCAGUGACGCCGCGUAUAGGAAGAAGGUUUUCGGAUUGUAAACUAUUGUCGUUAGGGAAGAGAAAGGACAGUACCUAAGGAGGAAGCUCCGGCUAACUACGUGCCAGCAGCCGCGGUAAUACGUAGGGAGCGAGCGUUAUCCGGAAUUAUUGGGUGUAAAGGGUGCGUAGACGGGAAGAUAAGUUAGUUGUGAAAUCCCUCGGCUUAACUGAGGAACUGCAACUAAAACUGUUUUUCUUGAGUGCAGGAGAGGUAAGUGGAAUUCCUAGUGUAGCGGUGAAAUGCGUAGAUAUUAGGAGGAACACCAGUGGCGAAGGCGACUUACUGGACUGUAACUGACGUUGAGGCACGAAAGUGUGGGGAGCAAACAGGAUUAGAUACCCUGGUAGUCCACACCGUAAACGAUGGAUACUAGGUGUAGGAGAUAUUAAGUCUUCUGUGCCGUCGCAAACGCAGUAAGUAUCCCACCUGGGGAGUACGGCCGCA
RNAcentral lists this ribosomal RNA (871 nucleotides) under uncultured bacterium. Its description in RNAcentral is "bacterial SSU rRNA". It matches the Rfam family "Bacterial small subunit ribosomal RNA", at positions 56 to 890 of the family's 1533-position model. The record is from RNAcentral.